Molecule: transfer RNA, 77 nt
Filed under: bacterium
Lineage: Bacteria
Description: tRNA-Glu
Rfam family: tRNA
About the family: Transfer RNA (tRNA) molecules are approximately 80 nucleotides in length. Their secondary structure includes four short double-helical elements and three loops (D, anti-codon, and T loops).
Source: RNAcentral
GGCCCUGUGGUCUAGUGGUAUAGGACGCUGGCCUUUCAAGCCGGAGAUCGCGGGUUCGAAACCCGUCGGGGCUACCA